This is a non-coding RNA of Rattus norvegicus (Norway rat), 39468 nucleotides long. The record is from RefSeq and is a predicted model, not a curated record. Lineage: Eukaryota; Metazoa; Chordata; Mammalia; Rodentia; Muridae.
GCGAGGUGAGGAGACUAGAGCGUUUCUGGCUUGUGAUGUUAGACGCAUCAAUAUGACAAGCCAAAAACAGAGUUUUCAAUGUAGCUCUCUAGUUAAAGCUCUACGUCCUGUUAUUCUAUUGGAAAAGAAGUUGUGCAUUGGAUCAUUGGAUGAGUCCUGAUGUUAUUCUCGAAUUACAUCCUUUACUUUCAUUCAUUUUUAGGUUUGUCCAUAAACAGUGUCUCUGAGCCCUAAUUUCUCAGUUGUGAAAUGUCCAAAACAACAGCGUAUGAUAUGGUUUUAUGGUGACUGAUGAGAAAAUGUGCAAGUCACCUGUUAAUAGAGGUCAUUAUCUCCGUGUCCUUAGUAGAAAGUCAGUAGCAUUAAGAACUCGUGUACUUCAUCAUUCAGUGUACCUCCCCAGGUAUCCCAGUCUCUUGUCUGUCAUGCUUUCUCAUUGCCAAGCCUCUUUUAUGUGUGUUCUCUUCAGCCUCAUUCUUCUCUGCUUGAUCUGGUGUUCAACCCCUAAUACCUAAAUCUCCUACCUUAGGCUUUUCUAUACCACCCGACUUUAACCCACCCGCCACCCCAGCCAAAUAACUUCUUUUCUGAAACACUUUCUUAUUGUCCGAAACAAUUCAGGUAUGUAGGUUACUUCUAAAAAGACUUGUAAAUAACUAUUUUCUCUAAAGAAAGAAAAAGCCAACACCAUUCCCUUUCAGUUCUUGAUCAUGAUUAGUUUUUUUAAAAAAACACUAUCUGGAACAGAGAAAUGGUUCAGUGGUAAAGAACACUCACUGAUCUUCCAGAGGACCCUGACUUGAUUUCCAGCCCUCACAUGACAGCUCACAACCAUCUAUAAUGCCUGCCCCAGGGGUUUGAUUCUGUCUUCCAGUCUCUUUAGGCACUGAAUGCACAUGCUACACAGACAUACCUUCAGGCAAAACACCCACACAUGCAAAAUAAAAAUAAAUAAGCAUUUGCAAAUAUGCAUUCUGUAAAUAACCACAUCGAAGGCACUCACAGACUAGUGUGGUAUAUGAGAAAAGUGCAGAGAGAGCAGUUUCUGUCCAGCUCUGACGAUCUCCCUCCUCUGCCUGGGUACAUUUAUUUCUCAAGACCUCAGUUUCUUUAUCUAUAAGAUGAGGCAGUUGGAGAGAUAAUUCUUGAGAUUCCUUCUGGUUUUAGGAAUACCCUGUGAAUUAGUAUCUCUAUCAAAGGGAAAUGGCCUUCUAGUACUGGUUAGUCAGGGAGUGCAGCUGACCACAGACGGAUGCUCAGAUUGUCCCCGUAGUUCCUUGUUGGAGAGAAGGAGCAUAGACUAGCUCACAGCAGCAUGGGUGGGGACAUUUCUGCUGGUGGGUUGCUACCCUCUCUUCUGCCUUCUCUAGUCCUUGGGCCUGCUGGUCUUCAGCUGCACGGUGCUCUUAGAUGGCUUCCUUGUGUGUCCUUGGUUGGCCUCUCCUUGGGUUGUGAGAUGGCUGGGGGUUGGGGGGUAAAUAUUUCAUCUCUAUCCUGAAAGAGAGUAGCUCUAUGUGUGUUAGAAGCAGAACAUAGAUUAAGCAGACCAUAGAUUUCUCUCCGCUAUGGGGAAAACCAGGAGCAGUCUCACCAGGCAAGCGAUCCAACCAAGGGCUUUGUUAGCCUCCCAAGGGUUGGGGCAGGGGGCACCCAGGGAAUUCAGAAACAGGCAUGUAUAGAGAAGUGUUCUUAUUUGUCUCUUGCCAGUUUUGUUUUUUAGAGUACGGAAAAGGCAUGCUGUCCUCCUUAAUGACAGCGGUCUGAGGAGCUGGGACAGAAGGUGCUGUGUUAAAAGGUUAAUGUGAAACCUCGCUGUAUGCUGAGCACUUAAGGCACCGCUAAUGGGAACUUUCCAGGGAGAAGGGUGGGUGUUAUUAACAUGAAAAUAUGUAUGAGGAUCCUGAAUGAAGGCUUUAUAUGAUAGAGUUGGAAGAUUAUAGGACCCCCGGCUGUUGGAGGAGGGUGGGGAGGGCGGAGAAUGGCUCUGGGAGGCAGACAGAGAGAAGGAGGGAGGAAGAAAGCCUUUGUGGGCUGCCUGUUUCAAGGGUCUAGAAGGAAGGUUUGGGGGAUACUUAGUAAAAUAAGAGACGGAAGAGCGGUAGCAGCCUGAAAUUUUAAGUAGGAAGUACUAAGGUUCGUUUUUAAAAAAAGAAAUAAUUUUCGAGGGUGAGGCUCCUCUGGGAGGGAAACGUGGAGAAAUAAUUGUCUUUGAACUCGAGCCAGGCUGAUCCAGUGAGCCACGCUGCCUUCCUUGAACUUUUGCAGCUAAGGCCCCCGGCUGCUCAGGCUGGACAGGGCUUGGAAAAUGACAUUGCUUUUACAAAACAGCUAGGACAGAGCAUUCCCAGCCACAGGUUCUCAGACGGGCGCUGCAGUCCCAGCCGGCUCUGUCUGGUAACUGCUCUUUCCCUGCCCUGUUUCCCGUGGAUGUGUCUACCUGGGCCUAACAGCCUCCAUCUUGGACUAAUCCUGCCAACAUCUGACUGGGUGACAGAUGCUAUGCACAUUUCAGAAUGGACCUCUGAGUGGUGAAAUACUGUCCCCACUCCAUGAACGAGGAAACCGAGGCUUGGAGAUUAGAUUGUCUUUUUUUUCUCUUCUUAUCCCGGACAUGACUCAGAGCCAGGGUUUAAUCCAAGCAGUUUACUGCCAUAUACCCAGUCUCCCACACUGUUACUCGAUCCUGCACCUGCUUCCCCAUUAUUUUUUACCUCUUUUUUAUUUUUAUUUGUUUAUUUAUUUAUUUUAUAUAUGAGAGUACACUGUCAAUGUCUUCAGACACACCAGAAGAGGGCAUCAGAUCCCAUUAGAGAUGGUUAUGAGUCACCAUGUGGUUGCUGGGAAUUGAACUCAGGACCUCUGGAAGGGCAGUCAGUGUUCUUAACCACUGAGCCAUUACCUCUUUGUCUGUCACUCAGAUUAUAACUAUUCUGGAAUGGGCCUCCGGCCUGUUCUAUGAUCAGGCUAGACAUUGAAGGCCUUCAAAAUGGUCUGCCCUCUUCACUUUCUUUGCUGAUGCUCAAGGGUCUGCCUGGUUCCCUGGUCUUGCUAUUUUAUAUUUUAUGGACCUGUUGCUAAUGUAGAACCAUGGCACUUCCCCGAGGUUUCCUUUAGUACCACAGGUUGCCCCAGGUUCUACAGAAAAGUGGGAUUCUCUGGGCACCGUGGCUGCUAACAGACAGGAAGUGAAUUUUGGGGAGAGGAGAUGUGCAUGGAACAUUGAUACUGAUUAGUGUGGAAUCAGGCCCUUGGUAGUCUCAGAAAGAGAUGAGUCUAUAGGUUUGACUUUUUAGAUGAGGCCAGGGGUGAAAAAAUAUUGACCUUCGGGAUGUCCAGGCCAACUGGAGGAAUUAUGGCUCAGGAUUUGGAAGGCUCUUGUUGCACAUUUUGCCCUCUUAGGAAUGGACCAGUAUCUCCCUGGGCAUAAAAUAAGACAGUACGCAGGCAGAUACACAAUAUUUACGUCUGAGAAAGAAAGGAGUCUUUCAUGUCCCUUUGCCUGUCUGUAUGUUAAAGAGUCUAAAUCUGAUUGGAGAAGAGUCACAGAGUGGUCACUGACCUGGAGGAAGAGAAAGCAGAAUACUGGUCUGAAAGGUUCUGUGGGCCAGGGCUGUCUAGGGAGAAGGGUAGAUCUAAGAGGCUUUUCUGGAGUGUAGGACACUCUUCCUCAGCCCCACCAAGGACAGUAGCAGGUGUGGAGUAGAGCUGUAUAUGCUGAAAAUGGAGAACGGCAGCUCUCCGGAGCUCAGAGGACUGUGAGUGAGUCCCAGGCAUCAAGCAUCCAGCGUCUUACAAUGUUGAUGUUCGUUUGCUUUGCUUUGAUUGUUACUCCACUUCUUCCCAGAAGCAUGAAUGAUGGAAUGGGGUGUAUGGUGUAUGGACACAGCCCGUAUAGGAGUGGUUUGUUAUCCGGGCUGAUGCUAUUGGCAACAGACUCCGGGCUUAGCAGAGCUUUAGAGAAGCAUAUAUGCUAUCUUCACAGUUGUCUAUUGUCAGAUGACGGCUGGACAUUUCCUUGUCUACCACUUCACCUUUGAUAGAAGACUUUCAAAAUGCCUAGAACAUGUGCUAUCUGGACCCCUAUGUAUUUAACAUUGUCACGGAGGCAGGAAAGUAUAAAAUCAACCUGCGAUGCAUAGAACGGCCUGCUAAAAGAACUCAGAAGGCUGUGAGAGGAUGCGAUAGGGACCAACGGUGUCCCCUUAGAGUCCCCUGGAACUCGCCGAGCUCCUGUUAGAUUCCUUGUGUGUGAUUUACAUAGCAGAGGCAAUCUGGUGUUCUGGGUAGAUCUAUUGGCCUGUGUCAGAUCUGAAUUCUGAUUAUAUUACAUUUCCCUACCAUACGUCUUAGCAAGAUACUUAUCUUAGUCCCUGUGGGAUGCUGUAACACAAUACCUUAGACUACAAAAUCAACGGACAAUGGACAUAUAUUGUUUCCCUCUCUGGAAGGUAGAAAGUCACAGAUGGCUGUACCAGCAGAUUGGGUAUCUUGUGGGGGCUGGUUCCUUCAGUUGAAAAGGGACAAGGGUGUGUCCUGGGGUUUCUUUUUUCCUUUUCUUUCCCUUUUCUUCUUUCUUUUCCCUUCCUUACCUUUUCCCUCCCCUGGUCCAUUUCCUUACCCUCCCUCCACGCUUUCCCUAUGCAGCCCUAGAAAGCCUUAAACUCAUGAUGAAGUCCAAGCUCUCUCAAGCUUACGAUGGGAUUCCUACCCCAGUCCCAGUGCUGUAAUUACCUUCAUGGCCUACUCUGCCUGGCUUCCUCGGGCUGAUUAUCUGACACAAUCCCCUUCCUGAGGGCUGUGCUCUUAGCACUCAAUCACUCCUUUAACAGCUCCACCUCUCAGUCUAUCACGUUGAGUGUUAGGUUCGAACAUUUGCAUUUUGAGGAGGUAUCCUCCUUGGGGCAAUCAUUAACUCUUGACCACCCUAAGCUUUUGCCAUCUGGGAAGGGUUACUAAAAGCUUCUUGAAGAUGUUGGCGUGGACUGUCCCAACCAGGCAGAGUACUCAGCUCUGUGGCAGUGAUAAGAAGCUAACAGAUUUGGCUUCCCCAGAGUAAUAUACCAGAGGAACAUUUGGGGAAGUCACUGCUGUCUAAAUGGUUUGGUCAAAGUCCCAAACAAGCUUGGGCUAAGACGUCAGCGUAGGAAGGUAUGAGUGACCUUCCCUGGUGACACGGAAGUAGCAUUCAUUUUUUCCCCCUCCACUCAUGUAUGACUUUGGUAGAGUGUAGAAAAAAAAUGAUGUUUAUUAUAUUUCGUUCUUACCUUUCUCAGGAGCCUGUUCCGAAUUUGUUGUUGAUGACAUUCCUUCUAGAGAUCAUGUCCCUAUGUGUUCUAAAGAACUGCCCUGAGGUAGGGCGUGAGGCUCCCUAGUUAAACUUCUUGAGUCAUCCUGGCGAUGGGUGGAUGCUAUUGGCACAAUCCUAGAUUAGAAGUAAAUCAAGCUGUUUCUGAUAACUUUUGCUAUGUUUAACAUAGAAUAGCCAUUUCCCUACAGUUUGCUGGGUAGGGUACUGAACCCAGAGGAUCUGACUAGGGAAUGAGCAACCUGAGUGCCCUUUCUUUUUAAGAAAUGUCACUAACAUCUUUUGGAAACAUCAGGAAUGUGAUUGCUGGAAGUCAGGGAUGGGCAUGAAGAGUCAAGAUUUAAUUCUAAGUUUAGAGUUCAGCCAUUUUCCUACAUCAUGAGUUGGCAUAGUAUUAAAAAAAAUGGCUGAUUCAGUAACUAGACAGCAGGUUGGUAUUAUACAACUGUUUUGGUUAGAGUGAACUGACAAGGAGUUGGACCCCCAGGAGGAGAGAAGUUACUGCCCCACAAAGCCCAGGUAGAUGCUGCUAAAUGUUUGCUUAGUGAGCUGUUCUGACGUUUGGCUUAUGUCCCCUCACUCCAGGUAAAGCAUGGAUGUUCAAUAAUCAGAAUUCCCGGAUAAAGGGCAAAGGCGAUGAAGUGGACUAUGGGACUACCAAGUAUAGCCACAGUUAGCUCUGAUCAAUGGCUAUAUACAUUUGGGGUCAGAUGAUAAUACAUAAUUACAAGGUUUCUACGUUGUUAGUUAUCGAGCCUGACAUUCUAAUUUUAGCCCCAGUCUUUCCAGUACAACUAAAACAACUAGUCCAGUACUUUGUUUCUAGAUAAAACAGGUUUUUUUUAGGAGUCUGCUGUCACAUUAUUAUACAAGAGUGAUAAAGACUGAUACUGUGGGGUGCUUCAUGAACUGAGCUCCACUUGGUCUGAGAAGCAACCAUCUACUGCCCGUGUUUGCUCUGCAGAUUUGCCCUUGACAUCAGAAACGGUGGUUGUGUCCUUGUUACCUUCCUGUGAUGACAAAGUUUAUGGUGACUUGACCUGGCUUCUGGUUUUGAAAGUGAUCAUUUUUAAUUAAGUAGACACUCACUGGCCUGAGGGUAUUUUCAGUGUCUGUCUACUGUUUGCUGAAGCAAAACAGAAAGGGAGAAUAUACCAAAGUAACAAACCCAGUCACUGUGUCUGCUAUGACAGGGUUUAUCUCUGGGUGAGGAAACUACGGAGGAAGGGCAGUAUGGAGCAUAGUAGGUCUGAGCGCCUACUAUGAGCACUGUGAUAGGAAGUGGAUAAGGAAGUGUAACAAAAGUUUCUGUUUUGCUUGACUGUGCUGGCUGGUCUUACUUAUGUCAACUUGACACACAAACCAGUUGUCUGAAGGAGGGAACCUUAAUUGAGAUAAGAUGCAGCUCUAAGGCAUUUUCUUAAUUAGUGAUUUAUGGGGGAGGGUCCAGCCCAUUAUGGAUGGGGCCAUCUCUGGCUUGGUGGUACUGGGUUUUAUGAGAAAGCAGGCUGAGCAAGCCAGGGGAAGCAAGCCAGUAAGCAGCACCCUCCAUGGCCUCUGCACCAGCUCCUGCUUCCAGGAUCCUGACCUGUUUGUCCUAGUCUGGCUUCCUUCAAUGAUGAAGACUGACUGAUCUGGAAGUGUCCGCUAAAGAAACCCCUUCCUCCCCAACUUUCUUUUUUGGUCAUGGUGUUUCAUCACAGCAACAAAAACCCUACCUUAGACAAUGACCUUAGAGCCUGGGCAGUGAGGCACUGUAUGCAUGUCAGAGGCAGAGGUCUCUAUGAGUUGCUCUGUGAACAGGGUCUGCGUGAAUGAUGCACACAUAAGGUCCUAGAAAAUCAAAGUCAGGAUCAUCUCACAGGAACUGCAGGGCUUAAGUAGUCCAAUGAAGGAUGACUGCAAAAAGACGAGAGAUCGAACUUCCUAGGCAUGCUUUGUAAAACUUAGUAUUGUCUGGAAAUCUAACCAAAUGAAUUCACCCUGUUAGAAGUGGCCAGCAGGAAGGAAGUCUCGUCUUUGUGCCCAGGGUUGUUUUCCGUUGUUUUCCUGACAGGAAAAUAGUCUGCCACCUCCUUUGCUUUGCCUAAUGAUGACAUCACCUCCACAGCUGAGGGCUCAGGUGUCUUUGGAGGUUUUGUUAAUACUGUCCUACAGACAGGGUGGGAAAUUGGAACUCUUACUGUGCACUUGACAGAAGUCUCCUCCCUUUCCAGAGGCUAGUUCCACUAGAAAUGGCACCAUUUCUUUGUUACUCUUGGGUAGAAAACUACAUGUAGAUGGUGUCUUGAGAGUGAUAACAAGUUUAUCUGAAGAGAAGCUGUCCAUGAGUCUAACAUCAAAUUGUCCCUGUGUCUUAGUUAGGGUUUUACUGCUGUAAACAGACACCAUGACCAUGGCAAGUCUGAUGAGGACAACAUUUAAUUGGGGCUGGCUUACAGGUUCAGAGGGUCAGUCCAUUACCAUCAAAGUGGGAAGCAUGGCAGCAUCCAGCAGGCAUGGUGCAGGAGGAGCUGAGGGUUCUACAUCUUCAUUCGUUGACCGCUAAAAGAAGAAUGGCUUCUAGGCAGCUAGGAUGAGGAUCUUAAAGCCCACACCCAUAGUGACACACUUCCUCUAACAAGGCCACACCUACUCCAACAAGGCCAUACUUCCUAAUAGUGCCACUCCCUGGUCCAAACAUAUUUAAACCACACCCUGUCUCGGGUUUUCAUACAUAGUAUGCUUUAGUUGCCUAUAACUGUGUUUGCUCGUCUCUUCUGAGCGUCACCUCUGCUGGGUGAUGGGGACUACCGUGGGUUUUAAUUUUCAGGAUACCUAUCUCAGAAUUCCCACUCGCUUCAGUUUCCUACCUUUACCCUGUAAGAACUGAAAUUUCUCAUCCUGGAAAUAUAUAUCUAUAUAUCUAUAUAAUCUAUAUAUCUAUAAUCUAUAUAUAUUCUCUAUAUAUCUUGCAAAUACAUAUAUAAUUAUAUAUAUAUAUACAUAUGCAUGUGUAUAUGUAUGUGGUAUGCAUGCAUGUGUGUAUGUAUGUUCACAUGUAUGCAGGCACACUUUUUCUGAGGUCUAUGUUCUUUAGCACUGGGAAGCUGGCUAGGUUUCUGAGACUAGGCAUGAUUUCCCUCCUGUUGAGUGGUCCUUAAGUCCAAUGUGACAGCUGUUGGUUGCCACUGACACAUGAUUACAACUUAUUAUACCUUUGUGCAUAUCUUGCGGUGCUGGUCAUUGCUAUGAUUCGGAGAUGUGGCAGCUGGGUCGGACUGUUUAAUUACUUUCUUCCCUUGGCAGCUUGCACAAUAUUUUUUGGGACCGUGGAGGCUAGACUGCAGGAAAAAGGCCUUUAGGUCAAUCCAGAUCAAAACACUGUAAUUCUAAAUCCCAAGUAUAUGAUGUUUUCAGCAGUAGGGGUCUACCCCCGAUCCUGGAGAGGCAAUGGUGGGUUACAGCAAUGGUCUAUGUUGUUUGGAUGACCCUGACUGACCAUUUGAAGGGAGUUUUCUUGUGCCUAGAAUUGGGAAUUUGUCAAUUUAAGUGGUUUAACUUACUUUAAGGUCACACACACACACACACACACACACACACACAGUGUAUGAUAUUAGUGAAGUAGAGAAUUGAAACUUUAUCAAGCAACAGUGGUGUUAUUGGUCCCUUGACCUUAUCCUUUGGUUUUACCCUCCCCCUCCCUCCCUCCCUCCCUUCCUCCCUUCUUUCCCUGUCAGUUGCUCUGACUGGUAGGGCAUGAGCUGGGCUUCAUAGCCCCUGCAGUGGCCAGUGUACAGACAGCUGUUUUAAGUGCAAAUUGAGCUCUUGCUGGGUAACUGCCUAUAACAAGCAACGAAUGCUUGCCAGGUCCUUAAAUUUUUUUUUCUUUUCUUUUUUUCGGAGCUGGGGACCAAACCCAGGGCCUUGCGCUUGCUAGGCAAGCGCUCUACCUCUGAGCUAAAUCCCCAACCCAGGUCCUUAGAUUUUUGCUGUUACUCUUUCAUUUAUUUCUCUAGGUCUUAUCUUUUCAGUUCCAGGUUUCUUGUUUUUAAUUCAGUUCCUUUUAUGUUUUCAAAAGUCUGAGAAUGCCACUUACUUGGAGGAAGUGGUGAAGCACCCCUGUGUCUUCUUCCUUCUUAUCCCCAUGUGAUGCCUCUCCAAACGAUUGUACGGGAAUCGUUUGCUCAUCCACUGUUGCGACGCUGGGGAUUAAAUUCAGGGCCUUCUGCGUAUGGGAAAUUUCUCAACAUAAUUUUAUUUUCUGAAUAAUGUCCGGCUCUGUGUUUCUCAGCAACUGUUUUUCUUUUCUUUUUCUUUUUCUUUUUUCUUAACGAAGAUAAAAUGCUUUAGAGACUCGAUUACAAUAAUGACAUAAGUUAGACAUCCCAAGGGAGAGAGUUCACAAAGAGACUUCUCCAGUGGCGGAAGGGCAAGCCUAUAACUGACCCUCAUGCUUUGUUCUCUUCAUGGGAAGGUUGAUUUUAAAAAUGUGCACAGAGCUUAGCGACUAUUACAGAAUACGAUAGGCUCCAGGGUGUCAGUGAAAUAGUAUAUCCUGGCUACAUGGUGUUGGCAAGUCAGGUGGAAUGCAUCAGAAAGGGUACGACUGAGGAUGUGCAUUCACAGGUAGAUGUGGGUGUCGCAUAAGGUCUGUCUGGUGAGCCUGGGCCAAGAUCCCCGACUGCAGAACAGAGUUGGGAGAACCUGGAGAGGGGGUGGGUUUUACUGAAGGAGUGAGGCACAAGGACGUGUGAGCCAGUUUGCACACAGCACAGAAAAACCUGAUAGAACAAUGACAGGCCUUGGAGAUUCCAGAAUUUAGAGUUCCUAAAUCGGUCACUGUGGAAGAGAGACAACUCCUUUACUAUUCCCUCCAAAGUAGGAGAGCCCUUACCGUGAGGAGAGGGAUGGAAAAGCUUGAAAGGUCAGGGGCCACUUGGUUGGGUACCAGCAGGCUGAACUCUUGUGGGCACGGCAAUAGCAACAGAACUUCUAUUUGGUGUGGCGUCUCCAAGCGCCAGUGUCUAAGUACAGGACAGCCACACCCCUGAGCCACAGAUGCCAUCUGGGCACAGGACAGAUGGGCAACCCUCCUAAUCUCCAUGCCUUUCAGGGCCUUGUCAUUAACAAAAGCAGGGCUUUUGUUCAAACUUUUGCUCUUUGGGAGUGACUUUUGGGUUUGUUGUUGUUUAGUUUUGAAAUUGUAAAAUAAAGGGUCAAACAUUUAAAUGGAAAAAAGUUAAAAGACAAUAACCAAAGAUUGCUAAGAUCCUAGAAGAGUCCUCUAUUUCGUAAGCUGGAAUCUAAAUUAUGACUUCUUUAUCCCCGGCCCUCCAAUCGCUUCAGACUCUGUGCUAAUUGUUUCCUUGAUUUCCUUACAGGUUUUUACUCUUUAUGUGGGCAUUUCUAAACAAUGCUGGUGAUUGCUACUUACUCCCCUCUUGCUAUAACAUUUCCUGUGUUUCCCCACGUCUUACUUUCCUUUUUCACUUGACAUGCUGUUUAUUAAUAAUUUCCUUGCUGUAUGGUUCUCUGUUGUGGAUUUUACCACAAUGCAAUGUGUUGAUCCAUUGUGCCCUCAGUAGACAUUUAGGUCACUUCUGAUUUGGUGUCAUUAUAGACUAGUAUUGUCACCAAACAUUCAUAUCCAUACAUGCUGGAGCACAUGUGUACAGUUACUGGGAGGUUAAAAGCUAGGGACACUUAAGCUCACUCUUUGCUGGUUCCCAAGUGGGGCGUCCAUUUUCUUCUAUAAACAGUAUUCCACAAGGGAGGCCAGGAGCUAAGAGCAAGAUGGUGUCCUUGAGUCUUUUUUAUGUUAAAUGCACCCCAGUGCUUUGUUCUCAUCCGUAUGUAUCUUGCUUUCUGGAGUCUACUUGCUUUUGUGCUGUGUUAUAAAACAACGGACUUCACCGAUUCCCAUUCCAAAGUGCAAAAGAAAUCUUGGCCUCCUGGCUCUCAAGCAACAUCUUUGCUGAGGUCGAUUUUAAUAGAGCAACUCCAGCUUACGUUUUAAGCCAGAUACUUUCUUAAGGAUAUUUUCAUUACAUAAUGAAAUAGAGGAUUAAAAAAAAUGGCCAAGCUAUUCCCUCAGAGGCCUGCCUGUCCUUUUUAUGAUUCUGAAUUAGCUUGACUUGGGUCUUGGUUGAAAGCAGGAGAAUUAUAUAAGGGGAUAGCUGAAAGUGAUCGGAUUAAAAUAUCUCACUAGCUCAUGCUAGAGAGGACGAAUGAGAACCUGGAGCGCUGUCCGAGGCAUACGGUGGCGAUCCCUCUAGAACUCGACACGCUUGGAUGUCAACCGUGUCUCAGGCAGGAGACCGCAGCGAAGAGGUUCAGAGGGUACUCGUGCUGUUACGAGUUCUCUCUGCCAAAGUGGCAAAAUGUCAAAAUGGAGACUUUCCACAAUGUUGCCCUUUGCCAGAGGCGAAGACUGAAGCAAUUGAGAGCUGGAGCAGGCUGGGCAGCCGGCAGGCCAAUGCAUGUAAUGCAUAGCAUUAAAGAUAGUUAGCACAAAGAAAUGGUUGUUAUUGUGCUUCGUCCAAGUUGGGCUCAGUAGCUAAUUAAGUGUAAGCGCCUUCUCCCCCCCCCCCCGUGGUCAUAUGCAGUUUUUGAAUUCUUCCACCACUAACUGUUUUAAAGAAGAAGUUAAAUGCAGAAUGCAUUGAGUUUGGUAGAGAGUUUAAAGGUCUCCAUUUUCCCACUAAAGCUAUUUAAUAUCAGCUGUGGAGUGGGUGUGUGUAUGUGUGUGUGUGGAGGGCUGUGACCUCCCUUAUUUUUACAACCAUUGCCAUGAUUUCAUGGUACUGGCAGCAGUCGCCCAAAGGGAAGAAGGAGACUUUAUUACAGUAAUUAUAUGCCAGAAUGUGGGUAUUAAAACAGAAAUACUUUUCUACUGAUAAUUAAAUGUCAAAGGAAAAAUGACUUUGCCCAACCAGCAGCCCUCCGUUGUGUUUCUAAUACACUAAUGGCCUCUGUGAAGACAAGGUGGUGUCCGUCGUAGGUUAGAGGUUCAGAUCCCGUGUGGCCUUCGGCUUUAGUUUCAGGAUGGUAAAUAGAGCAGUUGGAGAGGCGGGACAUGUCAAGACAAGGUAGGUUGAUCUCCCCCCUCUCCCCGCCCUCAGUGUAAAGUCAGAUAUGUAUUUACUUGAAAAGAUGUGGCCAUGGGAUCUGCAGACAGGGUGUGGCCCUCCCAUUGAAUUACACUGCUGUUUCUGCGAUCCUGUGGUGCCAAGGAUCAAACUUGGGGCCUUGCACAUGCUAGGCAAACAGGGAUCCCCAGGCCAUACCGGAUCCUUUAUCUCUUUUCUCUAAUAUGUUUUGGUGCAUUUGCGAAUGCUGGAAGAAAAAGAAUAUGGCUGGAAAUUUAUCCAUAAAUAGUGUUUUUCUGACUUAUUUAAAAAUGUAGUCCUAAUAAGAUAAAGAAGGGCAGAUAUGUACCAGAAGACACAAUUUUUAAAAUUAGCCCUAUGCUGAAAAAAAAAAAUAAGCCUGUGGCUACUAAGUUCUAUUCAUCAAACACUGAUUGGAGACCAAUACAGGCCUGAGAUGGUGAGUGUGAUCCCUAUGUCAGAAGACUGCAUCAGGCCGAGUUUGAUUCACUCCGCCAUUGAGUUCGGUUCGAGCACCAAAACAACUUGUGAGUUUCUUUGACCACCCUCAAAUAGCUAAAAGGUACAAUUCUUUCUAAUCUUUGAUAUGAAGUGGGCACUUGGAUCAUUUUCUGAGGUGCUGAUUAGCCCGCGAGGAUAAACAGAUAUUUGUAGGAAACCAGUAGCAAACAUCAGAGCAAAUUUGAGAGUUCAGUCUCCAUCAACUGAGAAUCGAGACACGGUGCCCUGCUUGAACUUUUGGCCAGUUGGUAAGCCACCCAGACCAUCUGAAAGCUAUCCUGGACCUUUCUAUAAUACGUGCGUUUGAUUCGGAUACAAAUGCUUGAGGUUGAUUUUCAGUUGGAGUUUCAGCCUGUACUGUUUUCUUCGUGGUCAUGUGGAAGGAUCUGGUUCAGUAUGUCUAGAGUGGGGUUGUCUUCAACAAUGAGCUAUUCAUGGGCCCUGAGCGAGCUACCCAGGACAGAGGAGACGGCUGCAGACCCUGCGGGCAGUUGGCCAUGUUCCAGUCCAGAUAUUCUUGGGAAUGUGGAAUUAUUUGAAUCAAAGGGAAAUAAAUCUUUUGCAAAUGUUAAUACAAAUGGCUGUGGGAAGGGCUUGGUGCUAAAAGAGUAGCUGAGGAUUCUUGGUGCCUAUUGAGCUAUUUUUUUUUUUUUUGGCAGAGAACAACUAGGUUGCUACGGGAAUGAUAAAGACAUGAUGAUCAUGAUAUUUUAACAGCUCUCCUUACAGUGUUGUACUGUGUCCUCUUCAGCUACUCUGGGAUGAUAAAGCUUCCUCUUUGAAUCAUCUGACUCCUCUUAUCUUCUGUUUAGUUUUCUUACUCGGUUGCAUUUGAACUUGAAGGCGCAACACUCCGAGUCUGACCAUGGGUCCAGCUGUAGCUUCCUUUCUUUGCACCAGCACAUUCAAGGUUUCUAUGGCCAGCUGUAAGCUUCCUCUUUCAUAAGUUCAAUUGGAAGAGGGUGUACCCUGGGAGAUCUGAAAGACUCUAUACUGUUCUGAUAUAAUGGAAACAGGAAACUGUAUAGUAUGUGCCAAAGCCAGUUGUUCCGGGCUUCCACUGUGGGGAAGUCACUAAACUGUGCCUCUGUAUUUGUAAAAUAGAGACAAUUGCAUAACUACUGUGAUGGCAUGAGCUCCUUAGACCGUGUAGAUAAAAUUCUAGCAAGGUGAUCACACGUAUCUGUCUCUCAAAAAGCUAAAACUAGAUCUACCAUACGUCCCAGCAAUAAUUCUCCUGGGUCUUUACUCAAAGGACACCAAGUCACCACAGCAAAGAUGCGAACACAUCAAUGUUUGCUGAGGCACUCCGCAGCAGCUAAGCUCACAGAGGAACAGAUAAAGAAAAUGCGGCCUACAUCUCAACAAGAGGGAAAUCAUGUUGGGCACUGGAAAUCUAGCCGACUAGUCAAGGUUGGUGAAGUCAUGGAACUUGUCUACCCUCAGCAGGUGAUGCCUACUAAACUAACAUCGCUCCUAACUGUAUCCUAAAAGGAAAGGAAAUAUGUUCUAGAUACAGACUAGAGAUUGCUUAGAUAUAAAAAUGAAUGAAGUUAUACAGUGUGCAGGAAAGGAAUGAAACCGGAGACAAUCAGAUUAAGCGAAUUGAGCCUAGACUCAGAGGAACAAACAUCACGUAUUCCCUCACUUGCGGGCCCUGGAUUUUAUAUAGAUAGCUACAUAGCACCAUGUAUGUACACAUGACACAAAAGUAGAAGGGAAAGUGUCUAGGGGAAUGAGGAAAAGUAAUGUGAGACAGAGGGGAGAAGAUGCAGAGAGGGGCGGCCAUCACAGGAAUAUAUUCAAUGUAUAAUAUAUACAUAAAGUAUAAUAUAUACUUUGUGAAAAUGUUCCCCCAUAGCACAGUACUAUAUACAUUGAAUGUAUACAGUGAAAAUCGAACAGCAAAUACACCUAUUACUUUGGCAGGCUCAGCCAUAAGGGGGGAAGCAAAUUUAGCCUCCCGUGUCUUCUUUGUUCUGUUAUCGUUCAGCCUGCCUUUGGAAUCAUCAGUGUGGGUCAUGGCCUGCUGGGGAUACUAGCCUCCAACUUUAUCUUCUGUGCUGGGAUCUUCAUCUACCUUUGGCCUUUCCUCCGUAUCCCAAUGACCCCUGAGCACUGAAGUGUCCUGGGACCCUGUAUUUUCCUUUUUGUCUACUCUCAGCAGGUGAUGCCAUCUGCUCUCAUCCCUUUCACUACUAUCUGUGUGUUAAUGACACCAACAUUCAUGUCUCCAGGCCGCAGAUAAAUCUCCUUUGUGUGUUCAACUGCAAUCUCGAGACACACCUCUAAUAGGACUCGUCUGCUAAUUAUGUCAAUCAGUUUUAUUAACUGGGUAUCUAGGAGGCACCUUUGGGACUAGACUCACGAUCAUAAUCCCCUGAAAUCCAAGUCCUUCUCCCCUGGCCUUUAUCAUUCUUGCAAAUGGGGAUUCCACCCGAGAUGCCUUUGAUUCUUUUUCUCAUACUCCACACCCAACCCACCAGAAAGCCCAGCUGGUUCCACCUGCAGGAAUCUAAUAGCUUCUCACCAUCUCUGCUGAUUCUGUCACAGUCCAAGACACUCCCAUUCAAGCUACCACCAUCAUCGUUAUGUAACCAUAACAGGUCAACAAUACGAUGCAGCUGCUUCUCAACUUGUGGGCAACCUGGGGCAACCCUCCGUCUCCACAAAUAUUUGCAUUACGAUUCAUAGCAGUAGCAAAACUACAGUUACGAAGAAGCAACUAGAUAAUUUUAUGGCUGGGGAUCGCCACAACAUCAGGAACUGUAUUAAAGGGUCACUGCGUUAGGAAGGUUGAGAACCACUGGUUUAAGUGGAAAGCAGGUGGGUUCUCUUUUAUUCCAUACCUUCCAAUACCAAGAAACUGGAUGAGCUGUCCCUUGUGUUGUCCCAAGACUAGGCCGCCUCUGCUUUUGGCUUUUGCAUUUGCUCAAAAUUUGGGAACAGCAACCCACUGAUCUGCACAGAGCUGGUUCCUCAUUUCUUGUCACCUGUUAAUUAGUAAGGCCAUCUUCUGCACCCUGCACAGUGGGUACCCUUCUCUUCUCCAGCCAGGAGCCUACUCCCUCAUCUCCCCAUGUGUGCCAACAUCUGACAUAUGUUUUUCUUCACUACCAGAUUUAAGAAGGCAAGAAUCUUCUUCUCUGCUGGCAUUAUUAUUUGUCCACCUGUUCGAUAAAUGAAGCAAAGGUCCCUGACAAUUUGCCUUUAAGAACAGGAGAUUGAAAUAAGAUUUUAUUUUUAUUGAAAUCUUUCAGUAUCCUAACCUAGUGUUUAUCUAAAUUUAUUUACACAGUCCAACAUGGGAAUACGCCGGGGAUGAUAAUUAAUUUACCCUUCAAGGUUGGUGAUACAGAGAGCGAUUUAAAACUGCUUGGAUAUAACAUGGGCGCCUGAAUGCAUGCUCCACUGAGCUCUACCGCUGAGUUACUUAUUUCCAAGAGGAGUGCUAUUUUUCUUAAAGAGAUAAGUACCUUUAGCCUGUACUGGUGCAGUCACAUCAUAUAAGAAAGUGGAAAAAUAUACCAAUUGCUCAUGUCAGGGAGCCAGGGGAUGAACAAGACAGAAAGGGGCCAAAGUCACCUCUCUCUGGAGGAUAAAUAGUUCCAUUCAGUAACUGUAUGACUUCAUUUCUUUAAACCUCAAUUCCAGUAUCCGUGAAGUAGGAGGCUUAGAGUAUAGUAUUUGUGAAGUCCAUUCUCUCCCUCUCUCUCUCUCUCUCUCACACACACACAUACACACACACACUCACACACACACACACACACACAACACUAUAAAAGGUCUCAUAUUCAGAUUCUCAGAUAAAGCUUCUGUUAAGGACUAGAGCAACAGGUUACUGGUUGAGAGUAUGUAUUGUUCUUGCAGAGUACCCGUGUUUGGCUCCCAGCACCCAUAUCAGAUGUCUCACAACUGCCUAUCAUUCCAGUUUCAGGGCAUCUGAUUACACGAUACACAUAGUCUCAUGCAGGGACACACAGCCAUGUAUAUAAAAUAAAUACAUUUUAUAAAACCUUCUGUUAAAAUGGAAAUCUCCUUGGGGGCCAACCUCCCUCUCUGCAAAACGGAAAGAUGUUUUUGUCUAAGGCAGAUUCUAAGACUCACGUUUGCGCGUGUUUUUUUGUUUGUUUUUUUCUCUCCUUAUUUUCAUUGUGCUUUUUUGAAUUCUGCCCCUCUCCCACAAUGAUGGUGAAAUUAAAUUUCUCUUAUUUCCUACCCCUUUCUUCUGUUAUUUUAAAUUUAUUAUCGAACCGUUUAUUUGAAGCCGUGGUCACACAUAUGCACAGAAGAUGAGGUCUUGUGACACACAUUUCUAGAUAUGCUAUACAAAGUUUUGUCUUGGUGACUGCCAGAAAUGCCUUGAAACUGUGUGGGGGAGCAGAGUUCACUCUUGAGAACCAAGCUUUGCAGGAGGACAGGAAAUGGUCUAUUGAGAAACUGGUGACGUGAAAACACUGAAAUCCAUCUUCAGCCUGGGUUCUGGUCAGUUUGAUUGGGAAAUAGCAGCAUUUUAAAUCUGAAUGUCUUCUCGUAUUCCUGUGAUCUUUGUUAUGGUUUCUAGGCGAAGAUCUGGGCUGCUGGGAUAGUCUUUUGGUUAACUGAUUACCCAUAAGGGCUGCUUAUACCUGUCUCUUAGCUGUGUGCCUUGGGUGCUUGUACAGGUGCAGAAACAGAGAAAGUAGAAGACCUGUGUUUGAGAUAAAAGCCUUCAUGAAAGGGAGAUCAUGUUAAUAUUUAACAAAUGUGCAUGGGCACUGGGCUGAAGUGGGAGCAGCUUUCUGGAAAGAUGUUUAUCAAAUCUACAGUUCUUUCUGGUGUGUGUGCUUGGGAGUGUGUGUGCGUGUGCCUGUAUAUAUGUGUGUGCAGGCCAGAGGUAAACUUCAAUGUCAUCCCUCAGGAUCCAUUCAGUCUGGUUUUUGAGAUAUAGUCUCUCACUGGGACCUGAAGCUUGCCAAUUAGGCCAGGCUAGAUGGAUAGGAGACCCCAAGGAUCUACCUCUCAACUUGAAAGUAUUGGGCUUGCAAGUGCACAUCACCACACAUGGUUAUUUAUUUUACUUUUGUAUGGGCUCUGAUGAUCUUACUUAGGCCUUAAUGCUUGUAUAGCAAGUGCUUUUUUUUUUUUUUUACAAAGUUGUAGACUUUAAAAUGGGCAUUAAAACCCCCUCCAAACACACCCAUACACAUACACACACAGGUCAGAACGAAAGAGGUGGGAAUUUUCUCUGGAAAAAAUGGCUGAAAUUAGAGGCCAUUAGAGUGAAUUAGAAUGGCUGAGGGGACAUCACAAUACCGUAGAGCUAAAUAAUGUUAACUGUGCACAUGCGGAACCAGUGUGAAUCUUUUCCCAAAGCAUAGCAUUUGCCACUGACGCCUGUGAGCAUUUUCAUGCUUAAAGAUUUUAGAGGAAAGUAAGCACACUGGGAGAGAACCAAGAAUAUGUUUGAGGUCUUAAAAAGAAGUGAUCACAAAAAUCAAUAAUUUAGGGAUCUACCUAUUGGGCUAGUAGAGCAGCGAGCAUAGGAAAAAAUACAUUUGUAAUCUGUCCUUGGGUAGUUGAUGUACUAACUCCUAGAGUGGUUAUAAAAAUAUAUACUCUGACUAUAUUUAGCAUUAAAUUUGAAAUGCCUUGACUGGGUUUGUGUCAAUUGAAGUUACAUCAGAAAUGUCAGCAAGCAGAGAGCAGAGGCACACACCACAUGAUGACCUGAUUCCAUAGGCAGACCAGCGCUGGGAAGCCAAGGAGGGGGAGGCUAGAGGUCGAGUUCUAGCUGCAGAGAACUUCUUUUUGCCCUUGAGGGCUGGGCAUAGAGUGAUUAGUCAUCGUAGGACAGCAGCUAUAUCGCCUGUCCCAUUGACUCAUUUACUAGGAAAAAGGCCAAGUGUCAGGAAAGAGAGAUGGGGUGGAGAGAAGGGGGAACUCAUUAUAGCGUUUUGUCAGGAACACCCAAAUGCUCACGGAUUCUACAACCUACACUUCAUUCUUCUAACGCCAUUCCACCGUUCAAUCCAUCCGACGAACAGUAGUCCAUGAGUUCUGACAAAGAUUGGGUGACAUAAACACAACCAGGGACAAUGUAUACUCUCAACUCACAAAGUUCUUUUGUUCCUCUUCCCAAGUAACUCCUGGUCCUACCACACUCCCUGAGGCAAUCCACAGCUAUUCGUGUGAGAGCAUGUAUGUGCGUCUGUGUGUAUGUUUGUGUCUUACCAUUCGUUAGUCUGGGAAUUUCAUAUUACAACCAUAAAACAUGUGCUCUCUUAUAUAUAAAGAUUCCUUCGCUUGACUUAAUAUUUUCGAGAUGUCUGAUUUUGAACAGUUGAAAUAAUGUACACCAGUCUUUGGAGAUUCUUGGGUUAGCAUCAGAAAUGCUGGGCGGUGGUUGAACAUGCCUUUAAUCCCAGCACUCAGGAGGCAGAGGCAGGUGGAUCUCUGAGUUCAAGGUCAGCCUGGUCUACAGAGUGAGUUCCAGGACAGCCAGGGCAGCACAGAAAAACCCUGACUCUAUAAUCAAGAAUUCCAAAGUAAGUAAGUAAGUAAGUAAGUAAGUAAAUAUAAAAUAAUUUUUUUUAACUGAGGUAGAGAGGGUAAUGCGGAGGAGAGGAAAUGGACCCUAAGGUUAGAAACUCUGACCACUUGGUUUUCUGAUGCAAGGUUGAGGACUGGUUCUUGUCAAGGUCAUGCAGGUUGAGUUGAAACUGGAACCCAGGUCUCCUGAUCCACUCUUGGAACAGGGAGCCAGCAGCUGAGUGAGGUGGUUGCUUUGAGCCAAUGCCAUGUGAUACUAGAGAGUUUCGACAGAGCUUUGCUUAGAGGAUGUGAAACUACACUAACCUCAUGUGACAAGAGAUCCUUGGAGGCCUUGGUGUGGGGCCAGGAGAGGAAGUCUGCAUGGCUUCUGGUUACCGGCUCUACCUCUGAACCCACUGGCCUGGGGUGACUUAUGGCGAACCUUCUCAUUUGCAAUAAAACGAGACAUGGGGCAGGAAACGCUUUUCUACACCACCGUGCUUAAAGGCAGGGCGCCCCUAAAAAAGGCUGGGUGGGCGGGGCCUCUAAAAGGCACCUUCAGCCACACGCCCCUCCCAGAGCAGAGGAUCUGGUGCUGAAAACACACCUCUUGGGAGGGAGAGAUGCUGUGGUUACAGACACAGCCUUUGUGUCUUGUAUGCACGUUCCAAUUCAGCCCCAGAUGACAAUGACCUGGUAGUUCCUGCCUGCCAGCUGUUGGCUGGCCUCUGUGAAAGUCCCCAAUGUUUGGGCCAAUGCCUCGUGGGCAGGUAUCCAUAUCACGAGGCCAACUGGCACCGUUGGCACCUUUGUUGGUCAAAUGAGCACAGUGACUUGGAACAGAGGUGGCCGAUCCACCCUCCCUACCAGCUGGCCGGUGGGAGCCUGUGGGCAGGUGCCCUGGGGAGAGAGAGGGUUCCGGUUGCCAUGGUAACUGUUCAGAAAAGGAGGUUUCCUCCUCAAGGUCAGUUUGAUCUCUUUUCUGCCAGGGGAAGAAAUGGAUCUGUGGCAGCCAUGUCAUGUAUAUCAAUUCGUGUCUCAUCUGUUUGGAAUCUUCACUUCUAAUUGGACCUAUUAUUAGUUAGUGUCUGGGAGAAUCUGAGGGCUGGUGGAUCUGUUGAGGGAUGUCAUUAUAGUGAAGACUAGGUCACCAGAGAAGUCCCAGAAGAAUUAUUCCAGUGUAUACCAAGCAGAGCUGGACAAAGAAUUCCAAAGGCUUUUUUUUUUCUCCCAAGGCAGACUGGCAGGUUGGACGAGUUCUCUGGACUAUUCCGGGAUAUGGAGAUUAGCCCUGACUGAGGCCUUCACCCUAGAUGUCCUUUGGCCAAACUGUCCUUGGCACAGGGGUGAAGGGACCCUUGUCAGCUUGCUGGGCCUGACUAGUUUCCCACAGUGAAUUUACUGUAAAGGACCAUGCAUUCUCACCGAUGCUGUCUGUUCUGCGAAGGUUCCACGUGUGCCUUUACCGAUGUUUCUGGCUUUGACCAGAAAGUUCAACUCGUUCAUCUACUCACUUCUGCACCUCGCUUCUGAUGAAAGCUGUUCUCGCCCGGGUCACUGGGUUGAGCGUCAGUGAUUUUCCCACCCAGCUUUUCCUCUGUGUGUUGGUAAAAAGAUCCUCUGUUUCCGGCCUUGAGAUGCUUGGGAGAAAUACUAGCAUCAUUAGUGCAGGAACUCCUGGGGAGUGGAGGUUAGGGAACUGUGCUCUGUUCUGCCUACUGAUAUCUAGUCAAAAUUAUUUAGAUCGGCUGGUAGAUACCUAAGAAUAGGAAAUGUGAGUUUCUCUGGGUAAGCCUAAACACCUUGCCUGCAAGUGUGGCCAUAGACACGGCUGUCAACUGUCUGACGUAGCCAGUGAGACUAGAGUAGAUCGCCCCACUCCUUUUUGCCAGCUGGUUUUGGAGACCGGAAUUUUUAUGUAUACAUAAAAAGAGAAGUUCUUGUUAUAUUUAAUGAUUAACGGACUGAACAUGCAAAGUGUUGUCCUGUGUCCUAGUGCUAAGUAAAUAUUUAGAAUUUGUCUGGUGAGCUAGGACAUGGGCACUACAGAGAUAGACAAGGCAUCAUUUGCAACCCCAAAGGCCCUCACAGUCUGACAAGGGAGAGAUGACAAGGAAAAGGUUCUCACAACUGUCAGGAACCAUCGAUGGAAACAGAUGCAGAGACCCACAGCCAAACAUUAGAUGGAGCUUGGGGAGUCUUGCGGAAGAGCUGGGAAAAGGAUUGUGGGAAUCUGAAGGGAAUAGAGACCAACAGAGUCAACUAACCUGGACCCGUGAGGGCUCUCAGAGAUUAAACCACCAACUAAAGAGCGUCUAUGGGCUUGACCUUGUUCCCUACACAUUUGUAUCAGAGGUGCAGCUUGGUCUUCAUGGGGGUCUCCAACAACUGGAGUGGGAACUGUCCCUGAAUCUGUUGCCUGCCUGUAGAUCCCAUUCCUCUAACUGUCCUCUUGCUUGACCUCAGUGGGUGAGGGUCCGCAUAAUCGUGCAGAGACUUGAUAUGCUAGGGUGAGGUGAUGGAUGCUCAGUAGAGGCCUCUUCCUUCUCAGAAGAGAAGGGGAGGGAGCUGUUGGGGGAGGGAGGCAAGAGGAGGGAAGGGGUGUGGUUGGGAUGUAAAGUGAAUAAAUAAAUUAGUGAAACAAAAGACUGUCGGGAAAUUGAAGGCAAAGUUUCACUUGCCUUGUGGGAAUGUUCUCUGGGUGGCAGAGGACAGAGGGGACUAGGCACGGCUAACUACCUUCUUAGGCAGUUCCAGUGACAAAUCAAAGUUCCCUUCCACUGGAUUCACCCUGGGUGACCAAUGAGUUCACUGGGGUUGCUGACAGAGUAUGGAUGAGGGGUUACAAAGAGUCUAUGUCAUACCAGAAUAGGCACACUGGGGGUUUGCACCCAGAAUGGAUGAUGGCUUCCCCAUGGCACAUACAAGAGGCCUUCUCCAUAGACCUUCCAACUUAUGUAUACGUCCAACCAUUCCAUGAGGCUGCAUGUAAUUAGGAUUGAAUUACAUAUAACUGGUUGAGAAGAGUAGAAAGGUCCCAUGACCAUCCUUCUAUAAGAGAAUGUCAAUGUCAACAAGCAGACUUGUGACAAUCUUCUGCAAGUAGGUACAGUUUGUACUCAUGAAGGUGAUGGCAGGUCGAGUCAGAGGACAGUUCUGUAAUUUGAGAAGAUAAUUUAUUAUUCGGGUUGGAAGAGCACUUUUAUAACCACAUCUAAUAUAGGGAGAUGAGUCCUUUCUUCUAACUUUCCUCACUCAGGAGGGCCAGCAUUAAGGAGAUUUGAAUGAAACAUAUUUGUUCUGGGUAGGACUUUAGCAAAGGGAACACCCUCCCCCAAAAUGGUCAAAAUAAAUUGUAUCAUAAUAUAACAUCUAAAAAGAAAGAAUGAGGAAAAUUUAUGAUAAACAAAUAUGGAAAUUUUAAAUAAGGAGAACAUUAGACCCUGCAUACAUAUGUCCUUGUUUUACCCUGUUCUUCACUCUGACUCCAAUGAAACUUUAUAAAAUUUGUCAAUUUGAUUCUUUUUAAAAAAAAAGCACUAACUAAUAGGUUAGACAAUGGAAUAUAUGACAGAAUUCUGGUUUUAGAGGGAAGUUUGUCAAGAGAAUAAGGUGGGGGUUCCAAGAGGAUGAGGUGACUGUAAUUCUUUCUUCAUGGUGGAGAAAAAGGAGAUACUUGUAAUAAUGUGUUUUCAAGUGGUUUCUUAUUCUACAACUGCAGCUCACCUCCCUUCACCCGGUAUAACCUUCGGGUCUGCUUCAUAGUUUAUGUCUUGAAUUCAUGAUGAUUUGAGAGAAAGGAAGGAAGAAGGUGAUGAUGGAAUAGAAGGACGUGGGCUGGUGAGAGGGGAUGAAAAUGUAGGAGGUAGGCAGGAGGCAGUGGGAAGAGGCCCAGGAGAAGCCUUACCCACCCACACUCUGGAGAGAAGGUGGGGAUGGGCAGGGGGGGACUUUCUGCUGGCCUUCACAGUGUUAAAGGAAAAGAGAGGUCCUUGGACAAUGGAUACUGGGUGGUGCCUGGCAGGCAAGUCAUGGUAUGAUAUAAUGCUUUGGUUUGCCCGUUAGGCCUGCUUACUCCUUCCCCCUUACCGUCUUACCCGAAGGUGGACCUGAGUAGAGCAUAUCAAAGGCUCUUUGCCCCUGGAUUCCAGAUGGACUGGAAGAAGAAAACAAAGUGGCUAGGGGCUCCCGCAGAUCCUUCCUGAGCAUUUGUUUAAGGGGACUAUGCUCUUCUCCUAAGGGCUGCAGUUCCUGGUCAACAUCCUCUUCCAUUCCCAAGGACUCCUGGGAAUCACUUCCUCUCACUUUUCCAGACUAGAAGUGACUGCUCACUCUUCAUUGCUCUGACUGUCUGUCUUUUGUGGUUUCUAUGUUGAACUCUCUUCAAUGUGAGGAUGCUAUCUGUCUCUCACAGAGACUCCGAUUUUGAUAUAGACACAUGAACUGCAACAGCCUUAUUUAGAACACUGGAAGCUGGAGGUGGAGGAACCAACCAGCUGCCUGAUGGGAAAGGAGUACAGGUGGUUACUAAUGCAGGACUCCAUCAUGGGUGGGUGAUGUUUGAGUGACACUAUGGGAUGAGACCUUUCCUUCAGAUGAAGGUGAGCCCCACUCUCCCAUCUUUCCGGCUAGCGUCCAUCUAUAAAAACAGGUGCCACCCGGUCACAGGAGGUGGCUAUGACCCAGUGGUCUUAAGAGGCACAGAAAGCACAGACAAGGACGUCAUCCAAUUGUAAUUUCUGCUGCUCAUCUGUCCCGCUUUCCUGGAUUCCUUGCAGCUAUGAAUGGCCUUGGGUUACGAUUUUCUUUAACAUCAUGGAAGUAAUCUCCUCCACGACUGAAAGAAUUUUAAAAUAUCUAUUUGGAGGCAGAAUAGCCUUAAAAAACAACAGGCUGGGGAUGUGACUUAAGUGGCACUGUGCUUGCUGUACUGGCUGUCAACUUGGCACAAGCUAGAGUCAUCUGAGGAGGGAACCUUGGUUGAGAAAAUGCCUCCGUAAGAUCAAGCUAUAUGGAAGCUUGCAGAGCAUUAUCUUAAUUAGUGACUACUAGGGGAGGGCUUAGCCUUUUGUGGGUGGUGUCAUCCCAGGGCUGGUGGUCCUGGAUUUUUUAUGAAAGCAGGCUGAGCAGGCUGUAGGAGCAAGCCGGUAAGCAGCACUCCUACCAUGGCCUCUGCUUCGGCUCCUGCUUCCAGGUUCCUGCCUUGUUUGAGCUCUUGUCCUGAGUUCCUCCAAUGAUGAAGAAGGAUAUGGAAAUAUAAGUUGAACCCUUACAUCCCCAAAUUGCUUUUGGUCAUGGUAUUUUUAUGACAGCAAUAGAAGCCCUAACUAAUAGACUCGCCUGGCAUGCAUGAAGCCACAGGGUCUAUCUCUAGCGUAGUCUGUAUAAACCAGCCAAGGUGGCACACAACUCCCAUCCCAGUACUUGGAGGGUAGAGGCAGAACGAUCAGAAGUUCCAGGUCAUCCACAGCCACAAAGCAAGUUCAAGGCUGGGCUACAUGAAACCCUACCUCAGAACACAAAGGACGGAAUGCCACCAUAUCAUAAAGGUAAAGUGUGAUUCUUUUUUAAAAAAAUAUUCCAGUAAUUUUGUACAUUUAUCCUAUUAAUUUGUUUUUGCCUGCCCCAAAUUUUAAGUCACUGCCGAAGUACCAGACUAUAGGCAUAACAGUGUUUCAGGAUGGUUGAGUUAGUAUAGGCAUUAUUAUUGUUACUAUUAUUAUAUCUGUUACCAUCCCUCUUUUUCCCUUCCUCUUUCCCCCCUCUUUUUCUUUCUCCUCCCUCCCCAUCCUCCUUCCUCUUGAAGACUGAGUUUUCCUUUAGUGGAAGAAGACAAAGACAGUACCAAGGAGUCCGCUUGGAGCACAGAUACUCUGCCUUGGACAGGAAGAGUCCUGAGGCCCAGCAGUAGCAGCAGUGGUGCCCAGCUCCUCUCUAACCUCCUAGUGGAAGCGCUGCUUAUAAUGUACCUUCUUUUUGUGGUGCUCUAUACCAAGACAGGAACAGAGCAUGCAUGAAGAAAGGAAGGCUGCGAACAUGGCCAACAGGGACAGAACUGAUAAGAUGAACCAGGAGGGACUGGAGGCAGGGGAUGGUCGCUGGCCACCUCACAGGAAGAACAUCCAAUAGCUGAGCCUCUGAAAUAUUGACAGGGUCACCAGACUUCCUACAGCUCAAAUGAUUACACUUACAUAUCAAAGGAAAAGGCAGCUCUGAAGCCUGGGAAAACACCUUAUAGGAAGAAACAAAGGAAGAGAUGGAUGGAAGGGUUAGUGGUACUGUGUGGGGAAGUGAUGAGGUUACAGGUGGAUUAUGCAGGUAAUAUAGUACCAGACUGGCUCCUGGAAAUGAGGGAUGAGAUUGUGUUAUGGUUAGAACCGGGGCUUGGAAAGAGGGAGAGAGGGUAACUCUUUCUCAAAGGCUUCUCAUGGUUUUGUGGGUGGUGGUUUGGUUUUAGUUGUUUGUGUUUUUGUGUUUUUGUUUGUCUGUUUUUGAGUCAGGGUCUCUUUCCGGGGACUGAGCAAAUCCUCCUACUUCAGCCACUGAUUACUGGGACCACAGACUUGGGUCACCUUGCCCAGCUUACAAAGUACGAUCUUGUAAGACUGAAAUGUGGCAAGGUGUACUGACCCUGUGUGUUAUUUGUAAUAGGAUCUUAUAGGCAACGGAUCAACACUGCGUUGGGCUUGAACUCCAAACGUAAUAUGAUUCCGUGAGUUUCCCCUUGCUUUAGUUUAUCCCAUAAUUAUAAUAGUUUAAAGUCUAAAUUUAGCGUUCAUAACCGCCUUUGUCUCUCUCUUUCUGUCUCUCUCUCUCUGUCGUCUUUUUCUCUGUGUAUGUGUGUGAUUGUGUGGGCGUGCGAGCAUUCGAGCAUGUGUUCGUGACAUUAAGUGACAUUUCCCCCGCCAUUAAACUCCAAAGAAGCAACUUAUUUAUAUUCAUGUUAUUAUUCAAUCCAUUUUUCAGCUGACACUCAGCCUCUGUUAGUCAGGAAGCUGGGGAAUGGCUGAGGCUAAACAUCUGAUGGAGAUGCAGUCGUCCUUUCACAUGACUUUGCCAAAUGGGAUCUUUGUAUUGUAAACCAGACAUUUUCCACCCGGAGAGCUGCCUUGACUUCACAUUCAGAUCUGCUGAAUAAAAGGCUCACAAGUUUUCUGUGAACCUAGUAUCACAUGAUGAGCACACGGGAGCAGGGAGCAAGACAAUGGUGAUGAGAUCCCUGUUAGCUUCUGCACAGCUUCUUCUUUUCCUGCAAGAAGAGGGCUUACUAUCUCUGCAGAAAACUUUGGGGGAAAAUAACACUGGUUUUGGUGUAGCUUUGAGGCCUCCCAUUGGUUGGAAAAGCUUUGGUAUAAGAAUCUGUCGUAGGGGGGUUGGGGAUUUAGCUCAGUGGUAGGGUGCUUGCCUAGCAAGCGCAAGGCCCCGUUUGGUCCCCAGCUCUGAAAAAAGAAAAGAAAAGAAAAAAAAAAAGAAUCUGUCGUAGGAAGGGACACAUGGAAUUUGGGAAGGUUACUUUAACAACCACAAUAAUAAUAAUCAAUAGACUUCUUUAAAACUUGAAAGAUGAGUGUCUAGUGCAUUAGAGAAGUUGAAAAGCUGUAGCCUCUGCACCCAUGGGAUUCUACGUUGCAUCGAGUCAGGGACAACACUGAGUGAGUCAUCCUCCCAUCCAAAGGUCACAAUGCAAAAUGUCAAACAACACCCAUGGCCAGUCAUAGGUGCUUCCUAUGGGCUCCGUUCCUCGGUGGGAAAACCGGAUGGAGCUCUCCAGUGUUACUUUGUAUUGCAUGGUUGGAGGUUUGCACAUGACACGGCGGUGUGACUGGUUUUCUUUCUCAGUUUUGCCUCCACUCUUUUGAACAGUUUGAAUGAAACCCAGAAGAUGUGCAUGGUUGAGCAUCUGUGGGUUAUGUGCAUUGGAGAGAGUCCCUGAGUCCUAUCAAUGUACCCCAAAGAGCACCCCCAGGUUAGACUGACAGGCUAGCAAGAGACUAGAUUUCAAAGAAAAAUGAAAAUUAGGCAUUAGGUUUUAAGAACAGCAGCUGACCGGCUUACCAGAAGUUCACGUGGACAGACUCAUGAGUUUUAUCACUACGGGAGCUCAGGGUCACAUGACGAGAUGAAGUCUUAGGGUGCAUCAGAGCAAGGAGAAUCCUUCUAUCAGGGACAGCCAGGGCGUGUGUGUUUUAACCUGAUCUCGCCUUGGCUGAGUUCCAUACAGUUGGAAUGGCCCACGAUAAACAACUCGGUUUUGAAAUAGCCAGGUGAUAGGAGGCCAAUUUGUAACCAUAUCAUCUGUGAAGCUAUGGGAGGAAAAAAUGGAAGGACUCAUAAUCUGGCACUAAAUGAAAAGGUUCAGAAGGAGGCAGGAAUGAUUUUCAUGUGGAAAUUGUUUUAUCUGAAAGGUUGAAUGUUUAAUGGAACUUAAUGAAGUUUGUCUGGCAUUUGGGCAGGCUAGGGCCUCGUGUGAUCUCUAAUGAGUAAGAGCUGUUCAAAAGUGGCAGGGACAAUGGUCAGGACUGACUAUGCCCAGAACCCCGAAGUCAGGCAGUGGAGGGAAGAAGAACAUGAAGAACAUGAAUUCAAGGGUAACCUGGGCUACAUAGCAACACCUUGUCUCAAACAUAAACGGACAAACAAAACGACUAGGCUAGCUGCAAAGAGCACCUUGGAUCCUUUAGAGCAGGUCAGGCACUGCUUUCUGUUAGGGAAGAUGAUAAGGUUUAAAUCAGGAUCCCACAGGCUCGAGAGGGAUGGGUCCCCAGCCUUGCCAUGCUAUUUUGAAGGCUGUAGAACCUUUAGAAAGUGGAGCUCACAUGGUCUCUAAAGACCUCAUAAAGUGAAUGAAGACCUUAAAGACGGAGGCACUGAUGUGGCAUACAGGCUGAGGUCCAGGUAGUCCAACAGUGGCUGUCUCUGGAAAGAAAGGUCAAGAAUCCAGUAGUUAUUCAGUCCCAAUCUGGUGCCAAUGUCCCAGAGGACUCCCAGAAAGAUGCAGGACUUCAGAGUGUAUUGUAAUCCAGAAGAAAUAGGCUAGAAUAUCAGUGAGCUAAUGACUCAGCAGUAGAGUAGAUGAACUUGCCAGCAAGAGUGAGGGUAAGCAGGCAAAAAGCAAAAGCUUCCUUCUUCCCUGUCCUUGUAUUCCCUGCUAAUAGGAGAUGUGUCAGAGAUUUAGGGUGGGCCUUCCCACCUCAAACAAUUUUUAAAAAAUCCCUUACAGCCACGCUCAGCUGCUUGGGUUUUCAUUUGAAUUCUAUAUCUAGGAAUUCUAUAUCUAUUCUAUAUCUAUAUUCUGCCAGGUUGACAACCAAAAUUAGCCACCAUGCCAGCUGUGAUGGACUGGGAUUCUCUAAAACUAAAAUAAAUACCCCUUUCUGUGUCAUAAAUUGUUUCUGUCUGCUAGGUAUUCUUUUUAUUUUAUUUUCUGAGAUCGUAAUUAAAUUACGAUCUUCUCCCCCCCCCCCCCCCCAGGCUCCCUCCUUGGUCUCCUUCAAAGUCAUGGCCUCUUUUUUCCACUAAUCGUCACUAUAUAUGUACAGUUGUGUAUUGUAUAUGUAUAUGCAUAUAUAUUCCUAAAUGUAGCCAGUUUAGCCUGUAUAACACUGCCUAUUCCCAGCUUUCCACAGUUCUUUGUGUAGGGUUGAAGACUUCUAGGCUUUUCCUUGUCCAAUUUAACAUGUUUGGUGUUAUCUUGGGACCGUUUACAUUUGGGUAGUCAUGUUGAUGAGACUUUAAGCACAUAGCUUCUGAUUUAUAACAAUGCCCAAUAGCUAACUAAUAGAGGCAUGUAGCUGCACCAUUUCCCUCUCCAAACUCUGUCUGCUGUGAAGCACACGGUUUGUCUCUGGAGGAGUGUAGGAUUGAUGGUCCUGCAUUUGCUCUGCUGCAAGGCAUGGCGACUGCUCGGGGAGGCAGAAUGUGGGGAGUUUGGCAGCACUUGUCCCACACUGUGCCGGGCAGGUGCUGGGCCACAGGGAAGCAUCGAGCCACUGCUUGGGGUGGGAGAGCACAGACUAAGGCAUGGGACAGUCAGAGCUGGCUCUGGGGUCCCCAGGCCUGCGAAGUUCCCAGGCUCUUGAACACUCAGGUGCCAUUCGAGGAAGAGCUAAGAACUAAGAAUGGAAUCUGGGCCUGAGGGCAGAUCUAGCCUCAGAUCUGCAGGCUUGGGCUUGGUGGCUGUCAUGGCUGGGAGAGUGCAGAGAGGCCUUCUAGGAGAGAUUAGACAGCGGCUCUGUAGACAAAGACCUUCUCCAUGGCUUCCCACGGCGGAUUCCGAUAAAAAGAGACAGUCUAUAGUUCCAAAUCAUUUAUUUCCUUGGUGGAAAGUGGAUGUUUAAAACCACACCCCACUUCUCAGGGUGGGCCUGUGAUUAAAUACCUUGGGAUGUCUGGGAAGGAAAGCUUAUUGGCUAAACCCUGCAGGCCUCUAAGUACCUCAUUAGAAUGGCGAUCUCUGUCUUGAGCCUAUGUGACCACAGACCACAUCCUUUUCCUGUUGUCUUUGUCUGAGAUAUUAGGGAUGCCUAAUCUAUAUGUGGGGGGCUUAAGAUGUUGGUUGUCCUUAUGUAACUGAUUGCCACAGAUCUUUGGGGGGCUGUGACUAGUGACAGGGGCUUGGUACCUGGAAGCAGUUGAAGUUCCUACAGUCUCUUCAGGGUUUCUGGGAUUGAGGACCAGGCUACCUCUCACGGUCCACCAUCCCACAGAGAACCCCUUUCCUUCAUUGUACCACCCACGAGAAUAAACACAUGAAUACUAAUGACUCCACAUCUGGAGUUCCGCGCUGUUAUGCUUCAAUAAUUAUCUUUUACCAAUAAAUGUGUAUGUGUGUACAUGUGUGUGUACAUAGGUGUAUAUAUACACUAGUGUGUGUGCACAUGGCCAGUGUGUGUUUGGUUUGUACUCAUGUGUGUGUGUGUGUGUGUGUGUGUGUGUGUGCGUGUGCAUGUGGACAGAGUUGAUGUCUGGGGUCUUCCUCAGUCACUUUCCCCCCCUCUUCCUUACUUCUUGAGACAAAGUCUCUCUCUGAACCUGGAACUCACCAGGCUAUUUAGCCCAGUGAACUGCUGAGAUCGGCUUGUCUCCACCUCCCCAGUGCUGGGAUUGGAGGCAUGUGCUGUCACUCAGACUGGAUGUAGCCACUGGGGGUGAAGGGCAGGCCCACAUUUAUGGCAAGCACACUGUUAACUGAGCCACCUUCGAUGUCCUCAGCCCUACAGGUAGACGCACUUUUAUCUCUCUCGACUGUACUGUCUCUCAUGGAUUCCAUCUGCAACAAGGUCUUAAGGAAAGACAGAGGCAGGGGAUUAGCUUGCAUCUUUCGAAUGAAAACACACACGAAAAAAAAAUCUUUGUAUGCCAUGGAAGCCAAAAGUCAGGGAUGGUUCGUGCUCACCUGCGUCUACACUGGAAACUGCUUUGGUCUGGUUCUUGUGGGUGACAAGGAAUUAUCUUUACAGAGCACAGGAGAAAUGGUACAACCCUGCCUGUUGUUCUUCUGGGUAAGUGGGCACGCGGGCCCUUUCUGGUUCCAUUUUAUUUCAGCAGGAGAAGCAGAAAAUAAAGAUGAAUAUUUGGCCAUGGAUGUCUAGCUGUGACCUCAGCGUUUGAGAAAGAUUAAUCCCUCCUCUCUCUUGACUCAGCUAUCGAGAAGGGCCGCACGCGGUGUGUCUGAGCUGGGAGAAGACAGGAAACCGAAUGCUCUUAGGAUGAAGAGUGGCUACUUCAGGAGAUGGAGGAAAAAGCCCGGAAUGAAGGAGGACUGUUUUCCCCCUCUCAUCUAGCGGGCCCCUGGAGACCCCUUUCAGAAUCCGGCAGCCCUCCCAUUCGUGUCUUUGCAAGGAUGUGCAGGGCCCCGAGGAGUUCCUGAGGAAUCCUGCAGCUGUUGGGGCCUCGGAGGAGAUGGGCAAUGUGUCUCCCAGUCCUUGUUAAUCCCACAAACGGCCCAUUGAGGGGAGUGGGAGAAGGGAGAGGCAACCAGGAUUGCCCCUGAGGUCCCUCAAUGGGGGUACUGUUCAGGCUUGGGUGGAGGCCAGCCCUGACCCCAUGCUGGUUGUUAGGGCUUCAUUCUUCCCUAGGAGGUGGCUGGAAAGGCAGUGAGCAGCUGAGGCUCAAGGGAAGGGACUGCUCUUGUUCCUCACAGGCGCUGCUGACAAACGAGGGGAAGCACUUCCUCUUUAAUUGUCUCUAUUGUUCAUUACAUUUACAUCCCGGCAUCAGCCCCCUUCCUUCUCAUUCUUCUCUGCCACUCAAGAUCUCUAAGUCAUGGGUUUUCCCUUUCUCUCUCCAAUCCUUCACCAGACAAGAAACAAAUAUCAUUUUCUCUUCCCUUCUGUACCAAUUCCCUUAGGCAGCUGGCUUAUGGAGCAAGUGGGAAUGGCUGCAGGUUUGCUGUUGGGCUACCAUAGUGCCUGCUACGUACACAUCUGUCAGUCAUUCUGACUGCCCAGCACCCACCCACCUUCCUCUUUCUUUUUUUUUUUCUUUUUCUUUUUUUUCAGAGCUGGGGACCGAACCCAGGGCCUUACGCUUGCUAGGCAAGCGCUUUACCACUGAGCUAAAUCCCCAACCCCUCACCUUCCUCUUUCUGCUCUAUUACCUUGAUUUUCUUUCAUUCUAACACAGCUAGCCAGUGGGCUUUGGUGGCAUAGACCGGCCUCUGGGUUUGGGAGUAGACACAGCAUGUGUUAAUAGAAGGUGGACGAUUUCUUCUUUGGGAUUUGUGUAGUGGAUAGGUGGGACCACACUGGGCUGAGUCGUUAAAAUCUGGAAAGAGUGUGCUGGCUGUAUUGAGAGGGAGACUAUGUCUACUGUGGCUGCCAAGUGGGUACAGUCUCGCCGGGGAGCGGUGUUAUCACCUUUGCUACCACUGGAGACAAGCCAUGGUGAGAACAGAGGCUUGGCAACUGCCCCUUCUCAUUUUAGAAAAGGGAGCAUCAGCUGAGGAAAUACCAGAUUGGCUUGUGGACAAGCCUGUGACGCAUUAUCUUAACCAGCGAUUGAUGUGGGAAGGAACUGAUGUUUGCUAUGGGAGGUGCCAUGCCUGGGCUGGUGGUCCUGGGUACUAUAAGAAGGCAGUCUGAGCAAGCCAUGGAGAGCAAGCCAGUAAGCAGCACCCCUCCAUGGCCUCUGCACCAGCUCCUGCCAUGACUUCCUUCACUGAUACACUGUUUCCCAAACUCUUGGCCUUUCUCAGGCGCGAGUGACUUAGCAGAUUACAAGCCUACACUACCACACUCAGCUAAAACUGGAUUACUAUUGACCAUACUGGAAACUAGUCUCUCUGAGUGAAGGUUGAGACAGUAAUUAUAUUGUUUCCUGCUUCCAACUCCCCAUUCAGGCUCCCCUUGUUAGAUAAUUUGCAGUACCAGAGAGAAGAUUCACUGAUAACCAUCCAAAAUCUCAGUCUUGAUGAAAAGAAGGUUCAUCUAUUUGGUGCCUCUCUACUAGGCCCCUUCUGUGUCUCCCAGGGUCUGUGAUCAGAGGCCCAGCCUCACCCAUCCAUUCAGCAGUCACUUAUGUACCGACUGCAUGGCAUGAAAUGGUCCUGUGCAGCUUCCCAGCAAGCCUUGGAGAAGUCUGACAGGCAACAUAAUAAAAACAACCUCUUCUGCUAUUGGAACACCCACUGAGGAAGGGAUUAGUCAGUGGGUUGGAGAAAGGCCGUGCAAAGGACAGGAGCCUUGACUGUGCAUUCAAGGAGGCUCUCAGGGGAAAAAGCUCAGCCCUACGUCUUAAUACACGUCCCAUGCUCUCUAGUGCACAGGAGUCUGUGGCCCUAGCUACCCACUCCUUUCUCUGUUUUUAAAACUUUCAAGAGAAUGUGUAAAGUCCUCUUGCUGGUAACCAUGGCUGCACAAGUGCUGGAGACAACCAGUGGAGAGAAACAGCUUCGCAUAGCCAGUCCGCAGCCCAGGUAAGGGUACCAAUCCCAGUAGCUUCUCUAUUUCUGUUUACCGCUUCAACGGUGUGUAAGCACUCCACCCAUAUACUAAGUCUUUUGCAUACAACGUACAUAAAAGUAUACAAAAUACUUUUGAUUUCAAUGCUCAGAGUAGGUUCUGUUACCUAUACUACAGUGGCUACAAUGUUUAUUCAUUCAUUCUGAGGUAUGGUCUCCCUGUAUAGCCCAGGCUAUAUUGAAACACACAAUAGAAUUUAUUGCCUCAGCUUCCCCUGUGCUGGGAUCAUAGGUGCAGACUGUCACACCUAGCUGUAAUUACUGUUUUUAAAUUUUCUGAUAAUUUGCUGUCUUAAAAUAUUUGCUUUUCGGGGAGAAACUGCCUUCCCCAAGACUAGUGAAUUCUUAGAAGUAGCUCAUCUGCCAUAUGUAAACUAACAGACUCAGCACAAUGAUACCCUUGCCCCAACCCAACCCCUUUAACACAUGACACCAGUGUUCAUCCAACCAUGAACGAUGUGGUCCUGUGUCAUAUGUGUCCUCGUCACGUGACACGUCUUCACAGGGGAUGUAUUAAAAUUGUUCUUUCUGUGUUGCUGGCUUCCCAGUGUCAUUACUCAAACAACUGUGCAAGUUAAAAUCUCCUGUUGCAAGAGUGGAGGAGGAGGAUUGGGGUAAGUGUUAAGGCCUUCUCAGUCUUGUCCCUUAUCUUGUCUCUUGUCCCAAGUACAAUGUUGUGGAGUAGUAGAUCUCAGUAAACUUUUUUUGGGUCAGCACUUAAAAGUGAAGGCAAAAGGUCUUGGCAUGAUGUUUUUGAGUUUUGCCAAACCCCAACAUUGCGCUUGGAACCCUCCUCUCCCCAUCAGACCUCAAGAAUUACCCUGUCCUCUUUCCAUAGCCACAUCAAACGUAUUUCUUAAUCUUCUGGGAAGCCAUACACUCGGCAGGCAGAUCUCUGAUCCUGCUUCAGCAAAAGCAGGGCGUGGUCCGAAUUCAAUCAGGAGAAUUCUCCACGGAGUUUGUCCAGAGUAUUGGCUGACAGCCUAUUCCUCCUGAGCUCCUGCAGUGGGUGAAAGGUUUGGUAGACAAACAUUCUACCAUUAUUCGUGGGCGACAAGGACAUUGAUGUUACUGAGAAGGUCUUGACCCGCCCCAAGCAGAUGAGCACUAUCAGAAGGACACCUGUGACCAUGUGUCUCUUCACACGGAACCCAGCCCCGACAAGGCCAUCUCUGAGUUCAAGGUUUAGCAAUAAACUAAUUUAUUAUUAGCUUUAAAACAUUUUAUGACAAGAAGCUCGUGGAAUUGUGUGAAGUAAAUAAACCACAUUUUACUAUCCCCUGUAGUUCUGACAUCAAGAUUGACUGUCAAUCAAAUUAAUCAGUUGUAGCCCAAAUAGAAGAGAGACAGCAAAAUGUCUACAGAGCUUUGUAAAACUUCAGACUGUCCUCAUACCAUAUUCACGGGCAAAGACGGAGGAAGGACACAGGCCAAAACUCUGUGGCUUCUGUUGUCUUGAAAGAGGGGAGUUGUCUUUGUCUUAGAGGAGUGGCAGAGAAUACUACUACCUUAGGUUCCUUACUUGUUAUCUAGUUGAUAUGAGUCCUUGUUUCUUAUUUAGACAAGGAUAAGUUUGGUCACUGGGGAGAUUUCUAAUUUUAGGAGUGAGGUAUGAGAAGCCAUGGCUGUCACGUUUGCUAUGCCGAGAUCUCAUUGCUUUGCAGCCUAACCUAACCCUCCAUUGAGCAAGUUGAUUAAACACCUUAAUCUUUCUAAGCUCCAGGUUCCUCAUCCAUAAAGUUCUUAGGGACUUGAGAAGGUUAAUAGAAGUUCCUUGUAUAUUGUUUAGUUCCAACCUUGUAGACCUUCCGGAAGCAUUAGUCACACUUACUGCUGUAAUUAAGUUAUGUGAGUCCAUCACUUUAAAUGAUUGCAGAUAGAUGAAUGGAUGAGCCAAAUUAGACUAUCGAUGACAAACCCUGAAUAUCCAUCUCUGGCUUGGUAUGUAACUGUAGUCACCUGUGUAUGUCUGGGAGAGGGGAAGAUAUUGGACUUGGCAUCAUAACAGGUCACAUGAUAGGAUAUUAGAUGGGACAUAAUUGACCAUAGGUUCUAGGACUCACCUAAAUGAAAAAGCCAUUUGAGGCUAUACAAGUCUAUAGGGUUCACAAUGGAAGACAGGGUACCAGGCUUUGAGAAUAGUGAUAAAGUAGAGGAUACAGGGUGGUUAAACUUUUGUGGAUGGAGAGAUAGAUUUACAGUAUUGGGAAGAGAACAACUGAUUCAAACCUGCAGCAGUUUGAGGGUUGUUGGAAGAAAGUGGCUAAGGCUAGCAGAUGGAAGUUAUGGAUAGGUAUUUUUAUCUGUCUUUGCAAAUGGGUGGCAGAGACUUCUAGAAAUGGGUAGUGGGAUGUGCUGCCACUCAGGAUUUCUAGAACUGUUUAGUUUGUCUGGGAUGUUUUCCAGGAAUGCUGAACAAAGGUCUCACCCAGGAGCACAGGGAAGAGACUUGUUUUACAGCCGCGUGGGUGGGGUUGAUGGUCACAAUAGGAAAAUUUUCCUUGGAGACAAAGUCUCCAAGACAGAGUGGACAUUAGGCAAGGUCCAGAGCUGGAUACAGAACGGACCUUCAGUAACUAUUAGUCACCGUUUAUUAUGAUGAUUAUAAGCCUGAGGUUUCAAAAGUUUAUGGACAAGUGGACUGACUGCUGAGUUACACUGACUGCAUGGGAGACCAGAAAUCUUGAAACAUUUUCUGGGCUUUACACUGACUUGAUGUGUAACUUCAGUUACUUCUAUAAGUCUGGGAGUGGGGAGAGAUGGGAAAAGUUUUGGGGACUGGGUAUGGAUAACACACACAGGGAUAGGGAGACCAGGGCCAGUGCUGAUAACUGGAAAUAACUUUCUAGAGUGUAGUGCACUGUGAAAGGAGAUCAAUGAGAAGAGACCAGAGAGCUUUCUUUUAUUUUUUAUCUUGAAAUAGGACCAUAUUCUGGGAACUGUGGGAAGGUAUAGAAGGAUGUUAAACAAGGGAGUAACAUGGCCAGAGAAUGGUGUGGAAAGAUCACUCUCAUUGACUCAAGGCCCACAGAGAGGAAGCAGGGAGCCAGUAUUUGUUGAUAACCUGCCGUGACCUGGAAACUCCACAUGAAUGAUAGCAUACCAUACUGUCAGCCAUUGAUUGGGUGGAUGCUUGCCUAUAUUUUAUAAAUGGACAAAGAACACCAGAGGCUAAGACUUUUUCAACAUUCCCUAGUUAUUAAGCAAUGGAUUAAUACUAAAAUACUACUGGGUCUGAUCCCCAGGUCUGGGAUUGUUUAAGUCCAAUGAAAGCAAAACUUCGUAUAGUUUAGAAAUAUGCAAAGUUGAAUCUUCAGAAUGAUUAGUGGAUGCUUAAGUCUUGUCCCUAUCGCACUGAGGCAUGCCAAGCCAUAGACUUUCCUCUUGGGUGACCCACUGCUUUCAAGUCCUCCUCCCUAAAGCCAUCAGGCCACGGACCACCUAACACUCUUUUCUAGAAUUUGAGGUUGGUGCUUUUGUUUGGUUUCUGUCGGUGGUUUGUGCUUUUGAGUAGCUGGACACUUGGGUGUUGGCUUCCCACUAUGCAGGUGGAGAAGCUGGGAGACAGCUGCAGAGACAGAGGGCUGUAGAGAGGAGUGAGAAGGGUGUUUUAGUCAGGGCUCUCUAGUUUUCUUAAUGUGUCUGACGUUUCCCCUUCAGUGUAGAAUAGCUAGAGUUAGUCUCUGUUGCUUGGGAAGAAGGUAGUGAGGGACUGAGGGAGAUAGGCAGAGGGGAAACAUGGGCAGAAAAUGAUGACUAGCAGGAUUUGGGGGGCAGGGGGGUCCCUUAUGUUUUCUCAAUAUCCCAGUACUACCAAGUGUAAAAGUAAGGGCUUUUCUGAAUAAUGACACAGAGACCUUUAUAUUUAUUAAAAGCUUCAGGCACUAUACCUGGGUAGAAACUAGGCUAUUCUAACCUGACAAUGCUGACCUGGCCCCCUUCCCAGCCACAUGACCCGUUACCUGCCAUGUCCAAGUUGUCCUUACCGAGACUCUCAGCAUCAGUUAACAGUAGCCUUUUUCUCAUUUUGCUCAGCAGUGUGGCAUCUGAAUGAGGAGGUAGGUAUGGGAACGUGGAUUUAGUGAGGAGGAAGCUGCAAGUCUAGGAUGGCUACUGACACGGUGGCCCAUCUCUCCUUUCUCUCUCCAUUUCUCUUAACUCUUAUAUGGACCAAGAAAAAAAAUUACAUCUGAUAGAAGCCUCUCUUCCUUUGACCUAGAGCCAUGUUGAGGACUGGUGACUUUGGGGUCUCUAUUGAAUGGAAGCUGAUGAGUAUUGGAAACAGAGAUUGGAUGAUGAUGCCUCUUCCUUGCCCCACACUUUUUCUCCAUGACCAUUCCCUUUGGAAUGCCUAGGAGAGGCUUCACAUCUUAGUGAUAUAGGGCCAUGAAAGUGAGCCAUGUACAGUCCUGGUAAAUCCUGUGCUCGAGUCUUUUCCUUUCUUGUUCACACCUCUGUAGCAUCUCUGUCUGGGUGUCACUCAGGUGAUUUGCUUCUUGUUCCUAAAGAUCUGAGCCUCGGGUGCUUUGCAACUUAGGCUCACUUCUCUUGGAGGAAAAAGAAACAAUACGAACAAUACAAUACAAACUGAGCACCCUUGCGACUGAAGAUGGAUGGCCUUCCUUGUUAAUCAUGAAUGAUUCAGAACAAUGACAAGUUAAGUCAGUAUCUCAAGUUAAGUCAAGGUUUGCGAUUGUAUUACCAGAGAAACGGAAUGGGAUGCAUGCAGAGACCUGUGGAAGCAGAUGUACCACACCACCUGGCUCCAGAAAUUCUGGAAACUACAGAGUUCUGUGGUCUACCACCCUUAAGCUGGGGAAGCAGGACAGCUGGUGGUGUAGUGUCAGUGCGAGCCAAAGCGAGCCAAAGGAAGGACAGAAGGAAGAAGACAACAGGCAGGACAGCACCAACAGAGGAAGUGAAUUCUCUCCCUUUUUGCUCUGACUAGCCAUCAAGGGCCGUAUCUAUCUAUCUAUCUAUCUAUCUAUCUAUCUAUCUAUCUAUCUAUCUAUCUAUCUAUCUAUCUAUCUAUCUACACGGUAUGCUUGCUAACGUACACAGAAGUGAGAGCAUCUUUUCUAGUCCAUCAAAUCAAAUGCUUGCCUUCUCUAGGCAUAGUGAAAACAACCUCUCACCAACUCCCUGGAGAUCCCUUAACCCAGUCAAGUUGACACACACAAUGCAGUUCAAGCUUAGAAUCAGGGAGAGUGUCCCGGUGAGGAGCAUCAGUUCCUCACCUGUUAGCAUGGUGAAUGCGGGGUUUAAAAGGUAAGGGAGCAGUGCGUGAGGAAAAGCCUGCCCUGCUGAGGAGGUGAAAGGGCUAGGGAGCAGCAGGUUGUUGUGAACAUGAAGUUUCUGUCCAGUCUGAUCGAGUGGGAUUAACUCCGCAUCUGGGAAUCUUACACUCUCCCGUUUCUCUCAUUUCCCUAACGCCUUGCUUUUACCUCUUCACAGCCUCUCGGAAGCCUGAGGAAUUUAUUAAUGAGGUCCAAUUAUGAGAAAUGUCAGGGUUUUAAUUAACUUUGGAUGUAUGGCUGACCGGUCCAGUUCAGCCCCCCCACCCCGAGAGAAUGCACAUUAAACAGGAUUUGCUAUGAAUUACAGUCGAUUUCCUUGCUGUUCUGCAAUUUCAGUCCUAUAAGCCCUUCCCCACCAUCCAUAGCACCCCCAUCUCCCCUUCCUCCUCCUCUUCCUCCCCAACCCCUGAUGUCACAUAGCAGUGGAUUUUAGCUGACCCCUGUGCCCCCACUUUGAAACAAUAUGAUAAGCAGAAAGCUGCAGACUAGUAGCACUGGCCGGCUUCUGUCUCAGGCUUCUCCUUCACUUGUGGCUUUUGACUAGGUGCUAUGGAGAGACUUUUCCUGGCCGUUCCCACUCUGCUCUCAGGGAUAAAUAGCCUGUUUGCUCUUCUGGGCUAUUUUUGAAGACAGAUUAGAGACUUGACAAAAACACUUGGAAUAACUCUUUGAGCAGGUUUUCCAGACACCAGUGGAAAGAAACAAAGACUUGGGUAAGAGAAUAAGAGAAUAAUACCGUUCUGUUUACCAUUCCUGAUGCUUCAAGCCUCACAAAACAAGCCGUGGGUCCUUUCCAACCAC